GCUACUGGUCAGCGGCUAUGAACUUCCGGCGGCUAAUUACUCCAUUUGUUUCAUAAUAUUUUUUUGUUGCAUAAUAUACAUAAUAGUGAAUUUUUGAGCCCUCUUAGUAAUAUUAUAUUAUAACACGAAUACCUUAAUUUAGAGUUUUUAUUUAAAUUUUUAAUUUUAUUUUUUUUAUAUUACAAGAAGUAUACAUUGAUGUCAAAUAUGAGAGAUACUGAAUCUGCAAAAAAUUGGAUUAUAGUGGGGUAAUAAUACUCACUUUAUGCAUGAUUUGAUUGAACACAAAAUAAUACAGUAAACACAUAAAAUAAUAGGCUAUUUUUGAAGAAAACACUUGAAACUCAUGA
RNAcentral lists this long non-coding RNA (350 nucleotides) under Salvia miltiorrhiza (redroot sage). RNAcentral's name for it is "long non-coding RNA (SMIL_LNC001083)". The record is from RNAcentral. Lineage: Eukaryota; Viridiplantae; Streptophyta; Magnoliopsida; Lamiales; Lamiaceae.